Molecule: ribosomal RNA, 503 nt
Filed under: uncultured bacterium
Lineage: Bacteria
Description: bacterial SSU rRNA
Rfam family: Bacterial small subunit ribosomal RNA
Source: RNAcentral
AGAGUUUGAUCCUGGCUCAGGAUGAACGCUGGCGGCGUGCCUAACACAUGCAAGUCGAACGGAACUUUUAAGGAACAAGACUUCGGUCAAGUGAGAUUUAAGUUAGUGGCGGACGGGUGAGUAACGCGUGAGCAACCUGCCUUUCAGAGGGGGAUAACGUCCGGAAACGGACGCUAAUACCGCAUAACAUGGAGAUAUCGCAUGAUAAUUCCAUCAAAGAUUUUAUCGCUGAGAGAUGGGCUCGCGUCCGAUUAGGCUGUUGGUGAGGUAACGGCUCACCAAGUCGACGAUCAGUAGCCGGACUGAGAGGUUGAACGGCCACAUUGGGACUGAGACACGGCCCAGACUCCUACGGGAGGCAGCAGUGGGGAAUAUUGCACAAUGGGCGCAAGCCUGAUGCAGCAACGCCGCGUGGAGGAAGACGGUUUUCGGAUCGUAAACCUCUGUCCUUGGUGAAGAGGAAGAGACGGUAGCCAAGGAGGAAGCCCGGCUAACUACGUGCC